GGGGGCUAGCGUUGUUCGGAAUCACUGGGCGUAAAGGGCGCGUAGGCGGCUUUAUAAGUCGGGGGUGAAAGCCUGUGGCUCAACCACAGAAUUGCCUUCGAUACUGUAGAGCUUGAGACCGGAAGAGGUAAGUGGAACUGCGAGUGUAGAGGUGAAAUUCGUAGAUAUUCGCAAGAACACCAGUGGCGAAGGCGGCUUACUGGUCCGGUUCUGACGCUGAGGCGCGAAAGCGUGGGGAGCAAACAGG
This 247-nucleotide ribosomal RNA is filed under the name uncultured bacterium. Its description in RNAcentral is "partial 16S ribosomal RNA". It matches the Rfam family "Bacterial small subunit ribosomal RNA", at positions 530 to 776 of the family's 1533-position model. The record is from RNAcentral.